AGUGAACGCGACCUUUUAGCUUAGGUUCGGCGAGUGUAACGACGGUUUGUAAAACUGUAGUGGCGUACAGGCGAAGAAUAGGUUUGAACCAAAAUUUCAGCUCAGGUAAUCCUGGUCAAAAACAAGAAAUUGUUAACAAUAGAGAAUAUCGCUGUUAGUCGGGCAAGCUGGGGAUUAUGUUGUAGGUGGGGUAAUGGCCUACCUAGCAAACGAUCCAUAGUUGGUUUGGGAGAACGGACAACCGCAUCGGAAAUGGAAAACUUCGAACAAAUUCAUUUGUAAGCCAUCAGGAAUAGGGUGACAAGAAGCGCAAGCUCAAUCCCGCUGAAAGAACGUGUGACAAGAAGGGAUUUUCCGUAAAGCACUAAUUGCAAUUAAGAUAAUGACAUGACAUUGCAUAAUAUAGUACCGGCUAAUUCUGUGCCAGCAGCCGCCGUAAU
RNAcentral lists this ribosomal RNA (440 nucleotides) under uncultured bacterium. RNAcentral describes it as "bacterial SSU rRNA". It matches the Rfam family "Bacterial small subunit ribosomal RNA", at positions 29 to 524 of the family's 1533-position model. The record is from RNAcentral.